RNAcentral lists this transfer RNA (82 nucleotides) under Canis lupus familiaris (dog). It matches the Rfam family "tRNA". From Rfam's summary of the family: Transfer RNA (tRNA) molecules are approximately 80 nucleotides in length. The record is from Rfam by way of RNAcentral. Lineage: Eukaryota; Metazoa; Chordata; Mammalia; Carnivora; Canidae. RNAcentral also lists the same sequence under 1 other name.
GCCUGGGUGGCUCAGUGGUGGAGCGUCUGCCUUCGGCUCAGGGCAUGACCCGGAGACGUGGGAUUAAGUCCCACAUUGGGCU